This 200-nucleotide long non-coding RNA is filed under the name Elaeis guineensis (African oil palm). RNAcentral describes it as "long non-coding RNA (EGUI_LNC006285)". The record is from RNAcentral. Lineage: Eukaryota; Viridiplantae; Streptophyta; Magnoliopsida; Arecales; Arecaceae.
GUUUACUUCAUUUUUUUCUAAAAAUUUAGUACUUUCACAUGACAAUUAGGAUUUUUUAUUUUGUUUGAGAUCUUUUUUAGAAGAUAGACUGCAACUUUCCCAUGGGAGGGCAUUUAUAACCUCAAGAUAAAAUAAGUAAAACAAUAUAUAAAGUGAAGAAAUAAAAAUUAAAACCUAGAGCCAUUAAGAAGAGACACGAG